This 1581-nucleotide long non-coding RNA is filed under the name Hordeum vulgare. RNAcentral describes it as "long non-coding RNA (HVUL_LNC018709)". Lineage: Eukaryota; Viridiplantae; Streptophyta; Magnoliopsida; Poales; Poaceae. The record is from RNAcentral.
AAAAUUAUGUAGCCAAGGGUCCUUGUCGUGCCCUAAUUCUUCUCUCUAUUAUUUUCUGUUUUCUCAACUCGAUCUUACAAUGAACGCACCCGUACUCGUGCAUAUAUAUAUACACGACCAUGACCAGCUAUCCAACCGGCCAAACUAGUCCUACUCGGACACAAAGCCUAAACCUGCAUGGAAUAUAGCUUUUGGACUCCAAAAGCAUAUACGGACACGGCUAAACAACAGCCAUAACCUGGACUCCUAAUUUGACUACUACUAGGACUAUACCCAGGACAGCACGGACAUGUAUUGCUACAACGCAACCCUAAACAAGAUUAUCUAACAAUCUCUCCCUAAUCUUGACUCCUGUCUUCUGUGCUUCUCUAAUCUUGACUUGUUGAUGAUUCAUCCCUUGUCGACUUAUCCGCUCGCAUCACGACAAGUUAAAUUGACAGGCUUCAUUGAUCGCAAGAAUCUCUUCCCAAUUUCAACUUGGCGAAUUUACGGACCACCUCAAAUAUGCCUUGGACUACCCAGCCUCGCUAGUAACCUGUGGAAUACACCACCCGGUGGACUACACCAUCCACCCUAGCGAGAUACAUGCCGACUCCUUGUGGAUCACACACCACCACGUGGACUACACCGCCCACUCCAGCCUCAUGUAGAGACAUGGCCUCAUUGAAGAGACUCACCUUCACCGGUUUACCGCCCCCACAUACUUGACUUGAUCCUCCUGUCGAGACACAUAGACGACAUGAGCUUCAUCUUCAACACCUCCUCACAGAGAUGAGCACUUGGACAUAUCGACUCCAACACGAUCACGACAACCGACCGACCGUGCAAACCAGCACGACUCCUUGACUCCAACUCCCUUGGAGGAUGACGCUGAUGGCUUCUCGGCACCGCACCUCGGCACCAUCGCUCCCAUCAACGAUUUUCUUCCACCGCCUUGCCGACGACAACCCACUGUCCCUCCUUGCCGCUUCGCCGAACGACGAUCUCCUGAACCUCUUCACCCGUCGCUCCACGAACGACCAUUGCCCGCCGCUCCUCGUCGCUGCACCACCCAACGACCAUAUUGCCCGCCCCGAGGCGCUAGUCGGGUCGCCUCCCCGGGGCAAGCGCAGCUUCACCUCGACCUUGCUCUAGAUACCAAUUGUUAGAACUAGCUCACCGGAUCGUUCACAUCAAAUCACGACGAACACGCGCACACAAAAUUAUGUAGCCAAGGGUCCUUGUCGUGCCCUAAUUCUUCUCUCUAUUAUUUUCUGUUUUCUCAACUCGAUCUUACAAUGAACGCACCCGUACUCGUGCAUAUAUAUAUACACGACCAUGACCAGCUAUCCAACCGGCCAAACUAGUCCUACUCGGACACAAAGCCUAAACCUGCAUGGAAUAUAGCUUUUGGACUCCAAAAGCAUAUACGGACACGGCUAAACAACAGCCAUAACCUGGACUCCUAAUUUGACUACUACUAGGACUAUACCCAGGACAGCACGGACAUGUAUUGCUACAACGCAACCCUAAACAAGAUUAUCUAACAAACCUUAUGCCUGAUACAGCUUUCUAGCAUGCAAGUUACUCUAGUUAGUUCAU